UUAAAAAAUGGUAUCUUAACAUCUUAAACAUCUGAUAUAUACUAGAUGGUCAUAGCCUUUACACGGCCUACAUAAUUCAAUAUAUGGUCAAAUUUGAUCAAUUUUUGGGCCGCAAUGGGCUGUAUUUUAUUACAUAAGCGACAAAUAUUUCGGCCACAAAAAUCAAAACGCUCCUCAGACAAAUUGCGGACAUAGUGGUUGAGGGAAAACUCUUAUGUUCCACAAAUAAAUUUAAAGCCACAAGUGCAGCUUGAUUUAUGCUGGCCCCUUCUUCGACUUCUGCGUCCGACACUGUGUCACUUUUCGGCUACGGCGCCAUCCAUCUCUAUUACUCUAAUUAAUUACGCACCCUAGGAUGUCAUUAAUUUCGGCCAGGACAUGCACAAAGAAUGUCCGUUAAUAUAUUGAAUUAAGAACCAUUUGUGGCUGUCGGCAGGCGAAGCCCUGCUCAGUGCAGCAUGCAAAUAUGCGGGCUUAACCGAGAAGAAAGGGGUGGGCCAGGCGCGGACUCAGCCCGUUAAGCCCUAUUUGUUUUUAAAUUUAAUGCUGGGAACUUGCCUCGGUGGCCAUGCGUGGCUAGAGAGGCAAAGUAAUAUCUAAGGAGGCGUUGCCCGAAGAGUGUUACCCUAAGUACUCGUUAGUAUGAGUGUGGUGACUACUGAGGAAAUAAAAUGCUUCAUCCCCAAGGGAUUUCUUUAAAAGGUGUCGAUAAAGUUAAAACUAAAUACGGGACUUCAAAAAAGGAAUGUGAGUGUAAAAAGAUUGUAAAAAAGAGCUUCGAAAAAUUCAUAAAUAAUCCUAUUUACAUACUCUGGUUAUAAACUCAUAUUAUUGAUUAAUACUAAGCCCAAGAAAUACUUUUAAUUUCGAAUAAAAAUUUUUUUAUACAAGUUAUUCUGCAAUUUUCAUAAUAUUGAUAUUAGGAUUAAAUUGAUUAAUUU
Molecule: long non-coding RNA, 941 nt
Organism: Drosophila ananassae
Lineage: Eukaryota; Metazoa; Arthropoda; Insecta; Diptera; Drosophilidae
Exons: 4
Source: RefSeq, a predicted model, not a curated record